AGUCUUGUAGUGAAUAAUACAUAGGAUUGCAAAUCCUAAGGUGAGGAAUAUUUCCUCUAGGGCUU
Molecule: transfer RNA, 65 nt
Filed under: Geotrypetes seraphini (Gabon caecilian)
Lineage: Eukaryota; Metazoa; Chordata; Amphibia; Gymnophiona; Dermophiidae
Description: tRNA-Cys
Rfam family: tRNA
About the family: Transfer RNA (tRNA) molecules are approximately 80 nucleotides in length.
Source: RNAcentral